Molecule: long non-coding RNA, 1741 nt
Organism: Humulus lupulus (European hop)
Lineage: Eukaryota; Viridiplantae; Streptophyta; Magnoliopsida; Rosales; Cannabaceae
Exons: 3
Source: RefSeq, a predicted model, not a curated record
GGUGAUUUUAAAUAACAAAAAUAUUUCUUGGUGGGUCUUCAUUUAUAUCCUAUAUAUAAAUUUGUGUACACAAUAUAUGUUAUACAAAUUCUCCAACCAAGCUUUAAAUGUUUAUUAUAGUUCAUAUUGCACUAUUUGUUUCUCUAACGGAUGGUUAAACUUUACACUAAAAAUAGUGUAAUAUAAAAUGUUGUCUUCCUAAUUAGCAAAUAAAGCAUAAAAUAAAUUACUCAAAUUCCCCUAAAAGCUUUUCAUCAAUGGUUGCCAUUGUAAGAUAAACCAAAUGGUUCGUAAGGUAUCAUAAAUGGAGUUCAAUAUCACUUAUAUGUAUAAAGAGCUUGUUGCCCCAGUUUUCUCCGUUACAUGUGGCACACUUUAAGGAGGAUUGAGGUUUCACGUAAGCUAGUAAAGUCUCCUUGAGCCUAUUCUAGGCUCCACAAGAUGUAAGCUCAUCCUUCACCACAGUUCACCACCUCCGGAGGAGUACUGUUACGACCUACUAAUAGGGCUGAGCAUAAAAUUCAAAAAACCGAAAAAACCAGAUAAACCGACCAUCCGAACACUGAAAAAACCGAAACCGAUUAAACCGAACACCGAAAAAACCUCAAACGGCGUAAACCGCCACUGUUUGGUCGGUUUAGAAAUAUUGUCCGGACCGACCGAACGGAACCGAAACCGACCGAGCACUAUUAUAUAUAAUAAUAUAAUAUUAUAUAAUUAUUAAUUAAAAAAUAAAUAAAAUCUGAUAUGUUUUUAGGCCAUCUCUUCUCUCGAUCUCUCUAUCUCUAUCACAUCGCAUAUACUCCUCUCAGCAGCUCAGCCCCUACGGUGUCGCCUCCUUCCUUCCUCUCUGUCUCCUCCCUCCGGCGACUGCCAAAACGAACGGAAUGGAACAGCCCAGCCUCUUCCUCUCUGUCUCUCUCAUCAUCUCCUCAUCUCCUCCUCUUCCUCUCUGUUUCGCUUAUCCCUCUGCCCAAACGAAACGAACGGAACGGACCGACAUCGAGCAAACGCGACUCGGCGGUAGCACUGCCCAGCCCACUCCGGCGACUGCUUCACCGACACAGUGCCUUCCCACUCCAGCGACUGCUUCACUCACGGACACAGUGACUCGAGUGAAUCAUGUAAUCCUGGCAGUCUUGAUUCAAACAAGGUGAAGGGGAAGAUUUUGAUUUGUCUUGUGAAUCUACCUUUAUUCAAUCCUGCAGAAAUGGUUUACCAAGCUUCUCUUGUGGGUGCUGUUGGAGUGAUAGUAAUUAAUCAUAUCUCCAUUAUAAGAACAAUUCCUCAAACCUUUAUUCUUCCUGCAUCUCAUCUCAAUGCCUCUCAGGGAAAUUUUGUAUAUGAAUACUUGAAGAUUGCUAAGAAUCCUAUAGCCUACAUAUCUCGGGGAAAGACUGAAUUGGAAGUAAAACCAUCACCAAUUAUGGCUUCAUUCUCAUCAAGAGGACCUAAUGCCAUAGAACCAUCAAUAUGGAUAUAUAUUGGAAAACACUAUUAAUUAUUAAAAUGGAUUCCAACAGUCCAAAAAUUUUAAUUUUUUAACCAAAACUUUAAAAAAAAAAACAAUAAUCAAUUCGGUUUGGUCGGUUUAACCGACCAAACCGCGGUCCAAAACGGUCGGUUUUUUUUAAACUGGUUUGGUUCGGUCGGUUUUUGGAUUGCACCAAUCCGGACCGAAAACCGAAUUUUGGAUUUUUUGUUGUGAAAAAACUGCCAAAACCGACCGAUGCUCACCCCU